AUGGCGGGAAAUGAGGGCGGGAAAAGGCGGGUCUUGACCCCCCGGAUCAUCCCGAUAUUCCCUUUUCUACCCCUGAUGGAGUCCGGGGGUGACCUCAAGGCCCCGGGGGAGUCCCUGCAGCUCCUCUGCCGCACCUCCGGCUUCACCUUCAGCAGCUACGGAAUGUUCUGGACGCGCCAGAGCCCCGGGAAGGGGCUGGAAUACGUCGCAAGUAUCGACAGCAGUGGUGGUUACACCAACUACGCGCCGUCGGUGCGGGGCCGGUUCACCAUCACCAGGGACAACGGGCAGGGCACGGUGACGCUGCAGAUGAACAACCUCAAGGAGGAGGAUUCCGCCACCUAUUUCUGCGCCAAAAGUGCUUAUGCUGAUCCUGGUUAUGGUGGUGUUUAUGGUAUCGACCCCCUUGGCGGGGUCCCCACCUGUCCCCAAACCCCAGACCCUCCCCCCAAACCUCCACCCUUCGCACCCAGCUCUCGGUCGUUGGUCGCGGCCCUGGACUGGUUUUGCCUCCAAAUCUCAACCAUCGACCCUGAAUCUCCAACUCUUUGCCCCAAAUCUCAAAUGUUUUGA
Corapipo altera (White-ruffed manakin) is the source of this 573-nucleotide non-coding RNA. NCBI's taxonomy places the organism in Eukaryota, Metazoa, Chordata, Aves, Passeriformes, Pipridae. The record is from the annotation of a RefSeq genome assembly.